AUUUUAAUAAAGAUUAAGUACUAAAUAGANNNCCCAACANUAGUUGAUUACANUGAACAAGUUACUGUAGGGAUAACAGCGUAAUAUAUAUCUAAAGUUCUUAUUUUGAUAUAAGUUUGCGACCUCGAUGUUGAAUUNAUAUUACUUUCAAGCGCAAGAGCCUGAAAAGUGGGUCUGUUCGACCCCUAAAUAUAUACAUGAUUUGAGUUCAAAUCGGUGUAAACCAGAUUGGUUUCUAUCUAUUNUUAUUUGUGUCUUAGUACGAAAGGACCUGAAACAAUAUUAUAUAAUNAUUUAUAUGGCAGAAAAAUGCUUUAGAUUUAGGAUCUAAUUAUAAUAGAUUAUUAUACUCUAUUUAACUUGCCUAAUCUCUGUUAUUAGAAUCCUUAUCGCAGUAGCUUUUUAUACCCUCCUAGAGCGAAAAAUUCUAAGCUACAUCCAAAUU
Molecule: ribosomal RNA, 445 nt
Filed under: Sancus acoreensis
Lineage: Eukaryota; Metazoa; Arthropoda; Arachnida; Araneae; Tetragnathidae
Description: partial 16S ribosomal RNA
Rfam family: Bacterial large subunit ribosomal RNA (bases 1-240)
Source: RNAcentral